AGUAAAAUUUUAUUAUAAAUAUAUUUUAAAAUUAUUUUUAAUUAAAAUAUUAUAAAUUUAUUUUUAUUUAAGUAUAUUUAAGAAAAAAAUUUAUAUAAUGAUAGUUUAUUAGUAAUGAAAAUGAAUUAAUAAAAUUAAAUUAAAGAAUUUUUUAUUAAAAGUACCUUUUGUAUCAGGGUUUAUUUAAUAAAUAGUUAAAAUUUAAUUAUUCUCGAAUUUAAAAGAUUUAUUUUAUUAUUUUUUAUAUUGUGGUAUAAAUAUUUAUUAUAAUAAAUUGGUAAUGAAAUGUUAAACGUUUUUAAAUAUAUCUAGUUUUUUUAGAAAAAAAUUUAAUUUUAUUAUGAAUUAUUAUUUAAAUUAAUAGUUAAAUUUAAAUAUUUAUUUAUAAUAAAAUUUUUAGGGAUAAGCUUAAAAAUUAUUUUAUAUUUUUAAUUAAAAAUUAAAUAAAUUUAUGAUUAGAAGUUUCAAUAAUAUAAAUAAUUUUAUAAUUUAUAAAAAUGAAUAUUGAUUUUAAUUUAAAAUUAAUUUAUUUAUAAAAAUAUUUAAUUUAAUUAAAGUUUUAAAUUAAUAAUGAUAAAAUUAGUAUAUUUUUAUAAUUAAAUUUUUAAUUUAUAAAAAUUUAAAAUAAGGAAUUCGGCAAAAUAAUUGCUCGCCUGUUUAUCAAAAACAUGGUUUUUUGUUUAUAAUUUAAAAUUUAAUCUGCCCACUGAUUAAUUAAAGGGCCGCAGUAUAUUGACUGUGCAAAGGUAGCAUAAUCAUUUGUUUCUUAAUUGUUGACUUGUAUGAAUGAUUGGACGAGGUAAUUACUGUCUCAUUUUUAUAAAAAAUAAAAUUUUAUUUUUAAGUUAAAAAGCUUAAAUAAAAUUUAAGGACGAGAAGACCCUAUAGAGUUUAACUAAUUUAAUAAAAAUUUUUAUUUUUGAAUUUUAAUUAUUUUUAUAAAAGUUAGUUUAAUUGGGGUGAUUAAAAAAUUUAAUAAACUUUUUAAAAUAUUAUUCAAAAAAUUUUGUUUAAAUUUGAUCCAGAAUUUUUGAUUAUUUGAUUAAAUUACCUUAGGGAUAACAGCGUUAUUAUUUUGGAAAGUUCAUAUUUAUAAAAUAGUUUGCGACCUCGAUGUUGAAUUAAGAUAAAUUUUUAGUGCAGUAAUUAAAAUUUUUAGUCUGUUCGACUAUUAAAUUCUUACAUGAUUUGAGUUCAAACCGGUGUGAGCCAGGUUGGUUUCUAUCCUAAAUUAUAUAAAAUAUUUUAGUACGAAAGGACCAUAUAUUUAAUUAAAAAUUUAAUUAAGAAUUACUUUGGCAGAAUAGUGUAAUGAAUUUAGAAUUCAUAAAUGUAUUUAUUAUACAGG
RNAcentral lists this ribosomal RNA (1348 nucleotides) under Parainocellia bicolor. Its description in RNAcentral is "16S ribosomal RNA". Lineage: Eukaryota; Metazoa; Arthropoda; Insecta; Raphidioptera; Inocelliidae. The record is from RNAcentral.